UUGCAAGCCUUCCAGCAUGCUUGGGUCUAGGGUGACUCAGUGCAUUCCUGCAAUGUUUGCUAGAAUGUUCUGCAAUGUCUUGAGGCUUUGCCCUGGCCCUUCCUUGGAGCAUGGUCAUAGACAUUUCAGACCGUC
Molecule: small nucleolar RNA, 135 nt
Filed under: Suricata suricatta (meerkat)
Lineage: Eukaryota; Metazoa; Chordata; Mammalia; Carnivora; Herpestidae
Description: Small nucleolar RNA SNORA9 (ENSSSUG00005019668.1)
Rfam family: Small nucleolar RNA SNORA9
About the family: ACA9 is a member of the H/ACA class of snoRNA that guide the sites of modification of uridines to pseudouridines.
Source: Rfam by way of RNAcentral